ACUCCUGCGGGAGGCAGCAGUGGGGAAUAUUGGACAAUGGGCGCAAGCCUGAUCCAGCCAUGCCGCGUGAGUGAUGAAGGCCCUAGGGUUGUAAAGCUCUUUCACCGGUGAAGAUAAUGACGGUAACCGGAGAAGAAGCCCCGGCUAACUUCGUGCCAGCAGCCGCGGUAAUACGAAGGGGGCUAGCGUUGUUCGGAUUUACUGGGCGUAAAGCGCACGUAGGCGGACUAUUAAGUCAGGGGUGAAAUCCCGGGGCUCAACCCCGGAACUGCCUUUGAUACUGGUAGUCUUGAGUUCGAGAGAGGUGAGUGGAAUUCCGAGUGUAGAGGUGAAAUUCGUAGAUAUUCGGAGGAACACCAGUGGCGAAGGCGGCUCACUGGCUCGAUACUGACGCUGAGGUGCGAAAGCGUGGGGAGCAAACAGGAUUAGAAACCCGUGUAGUCCCAU
Molecule: ribosomal RNA, 447 nt
Filed under: uncultured organism
Description: partial 16S ribosomal RNA
Rfam family: Bacterial small subunit ribosomal RNA
Source: RNAcentral